Erinaceus europaeus (western European hedgehog) is the source of this 2994-nucleotide long non-coding RNA. RefSeq lists it as uncharacterized. The transcript has 2 exons. NCBI's taxonomy places the organism in Eukaryota, Metazoa, Chordata, Mammalia, Eulipotyphla, Erinaceidae. The record is from RefSeq and is a predicted model, not a curated record.
GCUCGCGAAGUUCGUUUUCUUUCUUUCUUUCUUUUUAAUGGGGGGGGGGGGUUGAUGGUGACGGUGGAUUCUGGGGGUGCUCCCAUCGCCUGCCGCUAACGGGAGGAGGCUCCCCAAGUGGGACCCCAGCGAACUGCUAGGUCGCCCGCUUCCUCAGCUGCGUGUCUGUUUGUCUGUCUGCACCCAGCGCUGGGGCGCCUCUAGGUAGAUGCGCAGGGCAGGUACCGGGGCGCGGCACCUCUUACCUCCACACGCCCGCGUCACCCUUCUGGGCUUGUGCGUGUGUGUCUACACAAGAGUGUGUGCAGAUUCCCUCCUGGCGUGGCGGACAGAAAGUAGGGGAGGGGACACCCCCCAGAGUUGCUAGUGACCGUGGUCGGGUCCUGUCCUGCGCUCCGAGUGGCGCGUGUGGGUGCAGCGCCCCUCUCUCUCCACAGUCUGCUCUAGGAAUCGGACCCGGCUAGUCCCCCUUCUGGUCGCUAGCCUGGGUGGUCCAGGGACACUUUGCAAGUCUUCCCCACCUCCCACCCCCGCGCACCCCGCAGUCCCCAGCUAGUGGACCGCGGAAAGUGUGCUGCACCCUGAGGCCCGGGGCUGCCCGACGGCGCGGGUCGCUGGGAUCAGCUCUGUCGCCUGCUCUGACCCGGCCAUCGUCCGCGCUGAGCUGCUGAGUGUGUCUCAAGCCAAAACUUUUUUUGGAGGUAGUGGUGGUGGAUUCUGCGUGGUUGGUUUAUUAGGAACCAGGCCACCUAUCUUUAGUAGAGAUGUUAAGAGAUAAUGACGGUGAGGAGGACUUUUUUUUGGGGGGGGGGGUGCGGGCUAGAGUUGUGACCCCGAGGUCUGCUGCCUUGGAGCGGCGAGCGCUUGCCCUGGUCCCCGGAGUCCUGUCUGCUGGAGCGCGCUGCCCAGGACCCAUGCGCAUCUGCAGGGAGUUUGGGGACAGAGGAGUGGCGCCGGCGGGCAAAGCCUGGAGGGCUCCAGCUGCCUGCACACAGCCCAGGUUCUGAGCCGGGCCCACAAGGGAACCGCUGCAGCCUCGCUGCCUCCCCGCCACUCGAACCUGAGUCCAGUCAAGCGGCUACAACGCAGCAACCUCCAGGAGCCAACUCUGAGGCUGCCCCAUUCACAAAGUCCCUUCCUGGAAGGAGCCACAGGUCUGGGGAGCAGAGAGUUUUGCAAAGGGCAACACUUCCUUCGCAGGGACUUAACUAUGAGACUCUGAGGUGCACAAGCAAAUAACAUCUUUUUUUUUUUUCUUUCCUUCACGUAGAGUAGCUCAGAUCUUUAAAGAGACACUUCGAUUUUCCUUGGAAACUUUGGAGGAAUUGUAAGCUGCUUAAGAGUGAAUUGAAGGCAAAUAUUGGUCAAGUGGAUUGCCAAAGCAGAGACCAGGCAUCUGGUGUAAGAGAUGAUUUAGGGGUAUUCCCUCUUUAUUGGGGAGGAGUCAGAAGAUCUCUUCUUAUUUAUUUAUUUAUUUAUUUUGCCUCCAGGGUUAUUGCUGGGGCUCGGUGCCUGCACUACGAAUCCACUGCUCCUGGAGGCUAUUUUUCCCAUUUUGUUGCCCUUGUGCUUGUUGUAGUUGUUAUUGUUGUCAUAGCUGUUGUUGUUGCUGGAUAGGACAGAGAGAAAUGGAGAGAGGAAGGUCAGACAGAGAGGAGGAGAGAAAGAUAGACACCUGCAGACCUGCUUCACUGUGGUGGGAAGCGACUCCCCUGCAGGUGGGGAUCCCCAUAGAUCUCUUCUUUUCCUAUUUUGAGGUCUCGCAACUUCCUGGGUUCUCAGACAUCUGCUAAUAUCACACAAGAUAUGCUUUUUUUUUUUUUUCCUACCAUCAUCAAUCACUGUUAAUUGGCAUUUGGCCAUAUAUUUUAUGAAGUUCAGGGGUCUUUCUUCAUAAAAUCUGAAUACUUUGGAGACAUUUCUGUUAACAGGUUGAGUGGUAAGGGUGCAGUGCAAAUGUGUCGUCCUCUCCCCACCCUACCCCUUUCUUUGGCUUUGACUAAGCAAGGUGGCAUCAGUCAGAAAAGAAGUUCAGUUCACUAGCAUGGCAUUUGGAGGGUGAAUGUGCAGUAAAUGCUAAAGAAAACUAGAAUGGGGCAGGGAUAUAUGCCAAUGGUAAGGAAUCUGAUUUGUCCAAGAGAGGAGGUGUCACAUAUCAGGGAGGGACAUUACUUAACUCUGAGAAUAAAAAGAUGUGUUUCUUAGCUAGCUAGAGAGCACAUGCUCAAUGAUGAUCUGGGCACUACCCCCUCCCAGAGCACAUUCUUCUAGGUCUUCAGAUUGUCAGUGGUAAUUAUGCUUCUUCAAUCAGGAAAGAGGAAGAGGACUGAGAAGAGGACAAGAGCUUCUGUUCAGCCUCCAAGGCCUUCCCUGCUCUUCACUUAAAAUAAUCUGCAUUCUGGGGGCCUGUGAUAUGGCUUGAUGGUGUCUGCAUUCCCAUACCAGGGGCUGCCCAGUGUCUGUCAAAACAAAAAUGUGUGGUCAGUAAACACAUCUCCCGUUGCUCUUGUCAACCAAUUUCGGAGCCAACUGGAUCUCUUAAAAAUAAAUAAGAUGGCGACUUGGAGACAACACCUAGUGUGAGCUCUGCAAGGAAGCUGCUUUCAGCCUGGGAAUCUGGGGUCAGGCCACCAGGUUCCAGAUGAUACCAUGAUGCCAACCGGACUUCCCUGGGCAGAGGACCCUACCAUGUGUCUUGGAGCCCUGCCUCCCCAGAUCUCUACCUCACUAGAGAAAGAGAAAGACAGUCUGAGAGUAUGGAUCGACCUGCCAAUGCCCAUAUUAAGUGGAGAAGGAAUUACAGAAGCCAGACCUUCCACCUUCUGCACCCCAUAAUGACCCUGGGUCCAUACUUCCAGAGGGAUAAAGAAUAGGGAAGCUAUCAGGGGAGGGGAUUGGAUAUGGAUUUCUGGGGGUAGCCACUGUGUGGAAAUGUAGCCCUCUUACCUUAUAGUCUUAUCAAUAUUUCCAUUUUAUAAAUUAAAAAAAAUAAAU